Molecule: non-coding RNA, 78 nt
Organism: Carlito syrichta (Philippine tarsier)
Lineage: Eukaryota; Metazoa; Chordata; Mammalia; Primates; Tarsiidae
Source: Ensembl
AGAGGGUAACAGGGGGCCACAGCAGAAGCGUUCACGUCGCGGCCCCUGUCAGAUUCUGGUGAAUCUGCGAAUUCUGCU